GACGAACGCUGGCGGCGUGCUUAACACAUGCAAGUCGAACGGAAAGGCCCUGCUUUUGUGGGGUGCUCGCGUGGCGAACGGGUGUGUAACACGUGAGUAACCCGCCCUUGACUUUGGGAUAACUUCAGGAAACUGGGGCUAAUACCGGAUAGGAGCUCCUGCUGCAUGGUGGGGGUUGGAAAGUUUCGGUGGUUGGGGAUGGACGCGCGGCUUAUCAGCUUGUUGGUGGGGUAGUGGCUUACCCAGGCUUUGACGGGUAGCCGGCCUGAGAGGGUGACCGGCCACAUUGGGACUGAGAUACGGACCAGACUCCUACGGGAGGCAGAAGUGGGGAAUAUUGCACAAUGGGCGGAAGCCUGAUGCAGCAACGCCGCGUGCGGGAUGACGGCCUUCGGGUUGUAAACCGCUUUCGCCUGUGACGAAGCGUGAGUGACGGUAAUGGGUAAAGAAGCACCGGCUAACUACGUG
RNAcentral lists this ribosomal RNA (468 nucleotides) under uncultured bacterium. RNAcentral describes it as "partial 16S ribosomal RNA". It matches the Rfam family "Bacterial small subunit ribosomal RNA", at positions 28 to 507 of the family's 1533-position model. The record is from RNAcentral.